This 460-nucleotide ribosomal RNA is filed under the name uncultured bacterium. Its description in RNAcentral is "partial 16S ribosomal RNA". It matches the Rfam family "Bacterial small subunit ribosomal RNA", at positions 338 to 795 of the family's 1533-position model. The record is from RNAcentral.
CCUACGGGUGGCAGCAGUGAGGAAUAUUGGUCAAUGGACGAGAGUCUGAACCAGCCAAGUAGCGUGAAGGAUGACUGCCCUAUGGGUUGUAAACUUCUUUUAUAUGGGAAUAAAAUGUUCCACGUGUGGGAUUUUGUAUGUACCAUAUGAAUAAGGAUCGGCUAACUCCGUGCCAGCAGCCGCGGUAAUACGGAGUAUCCGAGCGUUAUCCGGAUUUAUUGGGUUUAAAGGGAGCGUAGGUGGAUUGUUAAGUCAGUUGUGAAAGUUUGCGGCUCAACCGUAAAAUUGCAGUUGAAACUGGCAGUCUUGAGUACAGUAGAGGUGGGCGGAAUUCGUGGUGGAGCGGUGAAAUGCUUAGAUAGCACGAAGAACUCCGAUUGCGAAGGCAGUUCACUGGACUGCAACUGACACUGAGGCUCGAAAGUGUGGGUAUCAAACAGGAUUAGAUACCCGGGUAGUC